Molecule: long non-coding RNA, 147 nt
Organism: Cucumis melo (muskmelon)
Lineage: Eukaryota; Viridiplantae; Streptophyta; Magnoliopsida; Cucurbitales; Cucurbitaceae
Exons: 2
Source: RefSeq, a predicted model, not a curated record
CUUGGCGAUUGCUUCGUGCUUGGCGGAGGGGUUUGGCCAUAACGAUGGGCUUGUCCGUCGGGCAGGGAGUGAGAGCGGGUGUCGAGUUGAUGCUCGGAUGGGCUUGCGCGGACAAUGCUUGCACCUCGGUGUGGGCGUGCACUCCAA